This is a non-coding RNA of Camellia sinensis, 483 nucleotides long. The record is from RefSeq and is a predicted model, not a curated record. NCBI's taxonomy places the organism in Eukaryota, Viridiplantae, Streptophyta, Magnoliopsida, Ericales, Theaceae.
CGCGAGUAUGACCUGUCUCGGCUAUACCUUUUCUCCUGAGGUGAAACAGACCUGCCCCAUUAUCACAAACACCAGACAAGGUUAGCAAUGCCAACAGAGAAAUGUACGAAAAAUAUUCUAAGCACCAAGAAAGUUAUCUGCAAAUGAACACAGUGAAAACCCAGAAAAUAGAAGAAAACAGAUAUUCUUCCCUAGAAAAAUAAGGAAAACAGUGGGUUUUUUUCCCAAUCUUUUCUUUGAUAAACACACUAUGGUUCAGUUUGGUUAGACGGAGAAUACAUGAAAGUGAAAAAAAAAGGGAAUUUUUUUUGUUUUGUUUUAUUUUUUCAGAUAGGGGUUCCUAGAAAGUAAUGAAAACUAAGGCUGUGUUUGGUUUUGUUUCCAAACAAUGAUUCUACACCCAUAUUCCAAUAUGAUGUUUGGUUAGAAUUUUCAAAUCACAUUUCCACAACUCUACUGAAAACUCUGUCUGGGACGCGUUUU